Molecule: small nucleolar RNA, 203 nt
Filed under: Cyanoderma ruficeps (rufous-capped babbler)
Lineage: Eukaryota; Metazoa; Chordata; Aves; Passeriformes; Timaliidae
Description: Small nucleolar RNA SNORA74 (ENSCRFG00000001493.1)
Rfam family: Small nucleolar RNA SNORA74
About the family: U19 belongs to the H/ACA class of snoRNAs. snoRNAs bind a number of proteins (including dyskerin, Gar1p and Nop10p in the case of the H/ACA class) to form snoRNP complexes. This class are thought to guide the sites of modification of uridines to pseudouridines by forming direct base pairing interactions with substrate RNAs. Targets may include ribosomal and spliceosomal RNAs but the exact functions of many snoRNAs, including U19, are not confirmed.
Source: Rfam by way of RNAcentral
UCCAGCACAAGUCAGCUGCCCAUGGCUGCUCAGUGCCUGUGUCAGUGUUAUGCUGCUGGGACAGAAAGGUGCUGCUGAGCUCUCCUGGCACCAGCGGGGCCGUCCUGGCAUUUGGUGGUGUCAGGUUUUGGCAGCACUCUGCAUGCUCGAGAGUGGAGUAACUCCUGCCUGUGGAGUUAGAGCCUAGACUGGAUGCAGACAAC